This 207-nucleotide ribosomal RNA is filed under the name uncultured eukaryote. RNAcentral describes it as "partial 18S ribosomal RNA". It matches the Rfam family "Eukaryotic small subunit ribosomal RNA", at positions 1299 to 1458 of the family's 1831-position model. The record is from RNAcentral.
UCGUGGAGUGAUUCGUCUUGUUAAUUCAGAUAACGAGCGAGACCUUAACUUGCUAAUUAAGGUGAGUGGAGUCCUUUCGGGCUUUAAUCGAACUGCUCCCUGUAUAGGGGCAACUAGAUCGCUCACAGAGUCCAAUUUAUAUCGUUGGAAGCUUCUUAGAGGUACAGCACCUUAAAACAUAGGGUGAGGAAGUUUAAGGCAAUAACA